GGGGAAACUUGUGAACCAGAUUUCAACAUUUUAUAUGCUUUCCUAAGUUAUUGCUGCCAUCAUUCUGCUUUCUUUUCAAAUAUGUUUAUGGUGAAUUUCACCAGCGCAUUUUUAUACCCUCAUUAUCAUAGUUGUUGGAGCAUUGUUUCCAGUCUUUGGUCAAUCCUUCUGGCAUGACACUACAUAUACGACAGCUUGCAGGGAAAAAUUCACAUCAUAUUAUUGAGGCAACAUUUAAGGCUUUUGUUAGGGCCCUUAGACAAGCAACUGAAUAUGAUCUGCGCCGCCUCGGGACCGUACCUAGGUCAAAAGGGGUUCUAUCACGGCCUUGAUAUCUCAGAAGCAUCAUACGGGCCAAGUCAAUGACCCCAAGGGCACAUUGAUCAUGGAUAUUUAGAUGGGGUCUCAAGUUUUUCCCGAAGUCUUAAAACUUAUCGAUCUAUCACGGUGGCUGGCGGUCCUCAACAACGUAACGGAGACCGAAAGGGCACGUCCUCUACCCAACACCAGCGCCUUUCUCUUAAGUCGAGCAAUCCUACCUUAGCCGUUGCAUGUGUGGUUCGGUUAACAUUUUGAGAUGAUGGUGAGUGAAUCGUUUUCCAGAAUUAAUCUAUAGUUCCAUGCAUGCCAAAGUGCCUAGAGCAUUAGCACACUCAAUAAAGGGUUUUCAUUUGAUAAUAUUUGGAUAACAACUAGGGAUGGCAAACGGGCGGGUCGGGUGCGGAUACCCCCUCCCCCAUCCCCAUACUCACAUAAUAUUUUUCAAUCCACUACCCGGCUAUCACCCAUGGUGGGUACAAAUUUUCAAAUCCACACCCGCCCACGCGGAUACAUUUUCAAAUCCA
Hibiscus syriacus is the source of this 845-nucleotide long non-coding RNA. RefSeq lists it as uncharacterized. The transcript is spliced from 4 exons. The record is from RefSeq and is a predicted model, not a curated record. Lineage: Eukaryota; Viridiplantae; Streptophyta; Magnoliopsida; Malvales; Malvaceae.